AAGCAGGGGAUCGUAAGACCUUGCGCUUUUGGAGUGGCCGAUGCCUGAUUAGCUAGUUGGUGGGGUAAGGGCCUACCAAGGCAACGAUCAGUAGUUGGUCUGAGAGGACGACCAGCCACACUGGGACUGAGACACGGCCCAGACUCCUACGGGAGGCAGCAGUGGGGAAUUUUGGACAAUGGGCGAAAGCCUGAUCCAGCAAUGCCGCGUGAGUGAAGAAGGCCUUCGGGUUGUAAAGCUCUUUCAGUCGAGAAGAAAAGGUUGUGACUAAUAAUCACAACUUAUGACGGUACCAACAGAAGAAGCACCGGCUAACUACGUGCCAGCAGCCGCGGUAAUACGUAGGGUGCGAGCGUUAAUCGGAAUUACUGGGCGUAAAGGGUGCGCAGGCGGCUUUGUAAGUCAGAUGUGAAAUCCCCGGGCUUAACCUGGGAAUUGCGUUUGAAACUACAAAGCUUAG
This 460-nucleotide ribosomal RNA is filed under the name uncultured ammonia-oxidizing beta proteobacterium. RNAcentral's name for it is "bacterial SSU rRNA". It matches the Rfam family "Bacterial small subunit ribosomal RNA", at positions 202 to 645 of the family's 1533-position model. Lineage: Bacteria; Pseudomonadati; Pseudomonadota; Betaproteobacteria. The record is from RNAcentral.